CCCCGCCUCGCCCCGCCGCCCGACGGGCUCCCGGCCCGCGCUCCCCGGGGCUGCCUCGCACGCUGGGCAGUCGGUGUCACGGAACCGGCGUGUGAGGUCCUUCGGGCGGGCAGCUCCUCGUUGCUGGACGAAGGGGCUCGUGUACCACCCGUGAGGAAACAGCCAAAGGGAGGGCGGGGCGCGUGAAGGGCUUGUAAACAUAGCGAGCUGUUUACGAAUACCUGUCACCAGAAGGGGUAUACGCACUGCCAAUAGUGACAGAAGAACACCAAGAUCUGCACUUCAUCACACCAGAGACUGUGGCUGCUCUGCUCUCUGGGCAAUUUCAAUGCCUGAUUGAUAAGUUCUACAUCCUUGACUGCCACUAUCCCUGAACUCUGUGAACCCCAGAGCUAUUGUCCAAUGCAACAUCAGGACUUCAAAGCAGAGUUGCUGAAAUUCCACACCACAAGCAAGUCAUAGACUUUGUAGCGAAGGAAGCGGGACCAGAUCACUCGCCUCAUGAAACUGUGAGCACCAAAGCAAUAGCUGGAGUGGAAGCUGCUUAAGAGAGUUCUGCCUUCCAGAGCAAAGUUUUCUUCCCUGAAGACAACUAGACUGUGAUGGUGAAAGAAAGAGAACCUUCCUUGUUCUACUGACAGGGCUGGGACAAAUUAGGAAGUCUGUUUAAAAAAUCUCAGUGCUGCCUCUGUGGGACACUGGCUGAGUAUAAAGCCUCAAAUAAAACAGUACCAUAGCUGCUUAGGGAAAAGAACAGGCUUUCUUCAAUAAAGACUAAGCCAGCUUUCAGGUUGUCUUGUCUAAAGCCUGCAAGGUAGUGUAUGUCAUCAGUUGAGCUCAGCUCUCCUGCUUUAGACAGGACUGCCCAUGUUUCUUUUUAAUACUACACACUGCUGUGGAUUUUGUUGUUAGUUGUCACUUCUCACUGGUAAAAUAAGGAACUGGAGCA
This is a long non-coding RNA of Cygnus atratus (black swan), 949 nucleotides long. RefSeq lists it as uncharacterized. The record is from RefSeq and is a predicted model, not a curated record. NCBI's taxonomy places the organism in Eukaryota, Metazoa, Chordata, Aves, Anseriformes, Anatidae. The transcript has 4 exons.